Molecule: ribosomal RNA, 497 nt
Filed under: uncultured bacterium
Lineage: Bacteria
Description: partial 16S ribosomal RNA
Rfam family: Bacterial small subunit ribosomal RNA
Source: RNAcentral
GAUGAACGCUGGCGGCGUGCCUAAUACAUGCAAGUCGAGCGAACAGACGAGGAGCUUGCUCCUCUGACGUUAGCGGCGGACGGGUGAGUAACACGUGGAUAACCUACCUAUAAGACUGGGAUAACUUCGGGAAACCGGAGCUAAUACCGGAUAAUAUAUUGAACCGCAUGGUUCAAUAGUGAAAGACGGUUUUGCUGUCACUUAUAGAUGGAUCCGCGCCGCAUUAGCUAGUUGGUAAGGUAACGGCUAACCAAGGCAACGAUGCGUAGCCGACCUGAGAGGGUGUUCGCCCACCGUGAAACUAGACCCCGUCCCAGCCCCCGCCGGGGGGCGCCGUACGGAAUUCUCCCCAAAUGGGCGAAGUUUGGACGAAGCACCGCGGCGGGAGGGUUAAGGGUCUUCGGUUCUAAAAACUCUUUUAUUGGGAAAAAAAAAAUGUUUAAUAAAUUAUCCCCUUCUGGAGGGUCCCUAAUAAGAAGCCCACGGCUACCUCCGUC